GAUCAUUCGGUGCCGACUAAGGCUCUAUAUAAGUCAAGGCGUGUUCAGACUCCUUCCCUCACGCCUGACGGAGCUGGAUUCUCUCCAGGACCCUGGUCACCAGCUUCAUCUUGCUCGGACAACCAUCAUGCUCCCCAUUAUGUCUCCACUAGGGAUCACUACCAUAGAUCACCUCAUCGAUCACCAUCAUACCGUCACCACUGCUGUCACGAUGAACUGCGCUACUCUUGCUAUUCUCGUUCUCCAUCUCGUUUUUCUGGUAGAUCUAUCUUACCAAGAUCCUCGAGAUGCUCAAGAUAUUCACACCGAUGCGAUGCGUCCAGAGCCUACUCUCCCAGGCGCUCCCCAACUCACCGUCAGAUAUGAUCAUUACUAUGAUGACCGCCUACCUUCUCAUAGCACGCGAUGCCCGCGCCCGCGCUCACGAUCUCCACAACCCACUAGUCUAGUGUAUCCACUUCACACACCUUCACCAACGGUUCCAUCAGUGCCUGUGGAGGACACUAUCUCGGUUUCUAAUCGUGACGAGCAUGAGAACAACUAUACCCCAAACAGGGAACCUCAGAGCCCUGGGUCUCCGGCCCAUCUCCUGACGAAGCUGUCUUCCCUGGAGAGCUAUCUCCCAUGAAAGAUCAUAAACAAUUUCAAGAGCUUUUUGCGAGGGUUGCGCAAUCUCAUGGUAUUCAAACUACGGACGUGCAGCAUAAGCAACACCCCUUGCUAAAGAACUUGAAGUGGUCACAAAAAUCGAAGCUGGCUCUGCCCUUUGAUGAGGCUAUCCUGGAAAUCGCAAAUGAUAUAUGGCAGACUCCUGCUGCUUCUUUACCGACUAACAAGAGACCUGAUAAGAAAUAUUUUAUAAACCAAAAG
Molecule: non-coding RNA, 870 nt
Organism: Pelodiscus sinensis (Chinese soft-shelled turtle)
Lineage: Eukaryota; Metazoa; Chordata; Testudines; Trionychidae
Source: RefSeq, a predicted model, not a curated record